CACACAGUCCGCAGCCGCCCCUUGUGUAUAUAAUGAGCUGAGGAAUUGGCAGCACGUGAUGUCACCGCUCGGGUGCAAAUGUGUUGGGGGCGCAGAGUGUGGAGAGCGGAUGACGUCACUGCCCAUAUAUAAGGCGCGGUCUGCGGACUCGGAGUCCACAGCCAUUCAGCAGAACACAGGCCUCCCGCUCACUGCUCCUCCAGCCACUGCCCGAGCUGUCACCUACCGGAGCCGGUGAGUGCUGCCAGAGAGACACCGGGGGGAGAGAGGAGACUACAGUGCACCCUGUAUAUAGCGCUUGGAGGUCAUCGCGCUGACACCGCUCUGUACAUAAGACAUUACAUGGCAGUUCUGUAUCUUGCGCAUGCGCUGUUCUGAUGUACUGUGGAGCAAGGAACCGCUGCCCAGGGCUUCAUCUCCACCCCCAGCGGUGAAGCUCAGUCCACGCUCCAGAUGUGGAUCCAGCGGAAGGAGAGGUAGAAGUCCUUCCAUUAUAUUUCUGGCUGAAUCUCCCUGAAAGCCUCUGUGAACCUCCCCUCCCCCCUGGACUGUCUCCUGUGGCCAGUACCUCCCAUCACUGCGCAGGUGUAAGAUUUCUCAAUGGGUUUUGAAUGAAGGGUCCUUGUGGUGGCCUUAGCGUCAAGGUUCCUUCACCAGGGAACUGCAGCCUCGUUCCGUCUCAGGAUUGCUGGAGUGUGUGGAUAUGUGUGAUGUGCGGUGUCUGGCGGUAGAUAGGUUUAUGCAGUGUAUAAUGGUUUUAUACCCAGAUAUCCCAGAGAACCGGGGCAGGCUCCAGUCCACGAGACCCAGAGGAUGGUGGAGGUGAACGUCAACAUGGCGCAACAGUAAGAGCCCACAUAGCGGGGGGGACCUCAAUCAUCCCCUCCGCUCUGCUGUUCCAGUGUUCAGGUCCCUACUCGUCUCCAGCCGACACUGUAGAGUAUGGCCACUCAGCCGGUCACAGGGGCAUUUGGGGGAUGUUCUCACCAUUUGCGCCAUUUCUAGGGAGAGUUACUCUUCUAAUUUUCUGUUUGCAGAUUUGCACACGUAGCAACGAUGUAGAGAGAAGAUGCAGACUCUGCAGACGGAGGGAGAGGGGUCGAAACAUUGGCCAGAAUCCGUGUACAGAGAGAACCUACAGCCGAAUCUGCGGGGGAGGGGGAGAGACCGCACCACCUCUCCUCCCACGUCUGUCACAUUCAGUCCACAUAUUACUCCCCAUAACUACAACCCUCAUCUAUUUCUUUCCCGGUUUAGGGUGAGCAAAUUGCUCCUAGUUCCCGAUUUCUGGCUGAUUUGUGGCAUCGGAGGGCUCGGCUCUGGACAGUGACCACGUUCCUUUGUCUGUUUGAUGUCUGCAUGUAGACAUACAGCCUGGCUGGCGAUCUACAGGGCUCGUCUGCACAUAACUCUGACUGCGUGUGGUUUCAUGGCAUGGGCUAUUACUUCUCGAAGGAGGCCAUGAGCUGGAUGUCCAGUAGGAAGUUCUGCGAGGAGCAGGGGGCCAGCCUGGCCCUCAUCAGGGACGCUCAUAUAAAGGAUUCGGUGAGGCUGCCGUUUGCUUAUGAUCAGCAGGAGCCGCUGGAGGACAUGACAGAUCCUUUCUGAGUCCCUGAGCAGUCGUGGUUUAUGGAUUUCGGUCCAUUGCAGGACGACUUGAAACACUUCAUGCAGGACAGCGAGGGCCAGUGGUGUGGACAGGCUCUGGUAGACGGAGAGUUAAAGUGGCUAGACGAGAUGGCUGAUGAGAGCUGCUACCUGACCUGAGAAGAUGCUGGAGAGUAUGUAGGGGCGCUACUUCACCUUCUGCUGGUGGAAGGACCUAUAAACUGGGUGCUCAUAUUAUAUUAUAGCAGGACGGAGGUCGGCGACAUGUUCCUCUCCGCACAAUCCAGAAGAUGGGUGGAUCCGGUGAUCUUUCUCUGUUCCCCAAUUCACAGUGCAGGACAUGGUGAUGACUUGUCUCCACGUUCCUCAGAUCUCUCCCCAAUCUGCAUCUGUGGGAUGUGCUGGAAAACAAGUCCGAUCUAUGGAGGAUGCACCUCACCACGUAUAAGACUUCACCCUUUUACUGCCAGGGCAAUUUUAACACUUUCAAUCCACUCAAGUAAAUCCUAAUACAACCCCUUCCCCGAAUACCCAACUCUUUUACAGGUUAGACACGCACUUCUGUCCACGUGCAGAUAUCAUCACCAGACCUGAAGAGACCAGAAACAGCCACAAUGGGCUGGAGGGAUGACAGGAGGAUAAGGUCCUGUAUCCACCCAUGAGGUCACUAGAGGAUGUAUGGGGCGAGAUUAGUAUAAACGGCUAUAGCUGGUGAGAGGGGUGAUAGCACGAAGAGAGGUUCCUGUAGGAGAAUCCAGCCGAGACUAGAAGGAAAUCUUUCCUGACGUCAUACAUGUUCUGGGCCUAUGAUGUUAGAGCUUUCUUCAUAUGAAAGCCGAGGCUGUGAGCUUCAGUCUGACGUCACGCUUGAGCCCUCACAUCCUAGCCAUGUAUAGUCCACAUAUUAUAAUUCCCUGGCAGUGAAAGGGUUUAAAUCCCAAGACAUUAACAUGACCUGGUGUGAACGUCAGCUUCCACAUUUCAGGCAUGGAUGAUCCUGCUGAAAACCCCACCACUUGUGGUUCCUCACUGUGCCGGCCGCUGGAUGUCAGUCCCAUCACCACAUCCUUCAGUCCUCAUCCACCUCCAGAGACCAAACUAACCCUGAUCCUCGGGGAUAUAAUGGAUAUCUUUAUACGCUGCGAUACCAGUCACAUUCCUGCGUCUGGAUGGAACUAUACCGCCUGCCUCCACUGAACAGUGCUGAUAAUGGAAGGACUGACUACGAUCCUGUAAUGGAAAAACAACCAAAGCCUGAAUAAUGGGGAAUAUAAGUAGGGGGUGUCCGCUAUGUCCUAGAGCAGGAAUGCUCAACCUGCGGCCCUCCAGCUGUUGCAAAACUACAACUCCCAGCAUUCUCUAAUAGCUGUAGGCUGUCUAUGCAUGCUGGGAGUUGUUGUUUUGCAACAGCUAGAGGGCGGCAGGUUGGGCAUUCCUGUCCUAGACCAUCACAUUUAUACAUCCCCCCCCCCCCAAUACACUAUAUGGAGAAAGUACCGGACCCUCCACAUUCCACCUCCAGGGGCUUUUCUCCCCUCCCAUUCUACGUCCAUAGGCAUAAACGCACAGCUGUCCCCCUUUGCCCUUCUAGGAAGGCUUUCUACAAGAUUUUGGGGGGUGUCUGGGAAUUUCUGCAUCUUCAUGUGGUGCAGCAUUCCUCGGGGAAAACAUGACAUUAUUUAUCAUCCAGUAACUCUAUCAGCGCAGCGCCCCCUCCUGGUACAAGAGGAAAGGGGCUUCCUGGUGUCCUGUAAGUAAAGCUUGAAGGGCCUUUAACUUUUCAUAGACACAAAUAAAAAGUUGUGAUUGGUGGGGUCUGAGCGCUGAGACCCCCACUAUCCCUAGAACGAGGGGAGAGGAGCGCUCUCGUGGUAUGGAUGGAAUCGAGGCAGACCCGUGGACUGCUAUGGGGCCCGUCUCGUGCAGCUCUAUGUGAGUGCUUCUUUGCUCUCGUUCUGGGGGGCACUCAGACCCCAUCAAUGAGAACUUGUGUCUCUGUCACAUAUCAAAAGCUUUUUGAAAAGUUACUUUCUGUAUAAAAAGCCCUGCAGCGUCUGAAUAUCCUCUCUGCAUCAUUUUUUUGGUUUUUGCUUGCUUUCAGUGAAUGUGGACACUCUUCCUUCCAGUCAGUAACUCUGCACACAGCUAGUCCUGCUCUUGAUAUCCGGUCUGAUGGAAAUCCAGGACUUUGUCGGGGGUCCUCACAAGUAAGACCAUCACCAUUAGUAAUCUGCCACCUGAAGAAGUCCUCCCCGUAGUCUACAGUUACAUGCCCCGCCCACUCACCCUCUCAGCCAAUCAGGACAUUCAUCAACAGGCAGACUCAAUCUUGAGCAAACAACCCCUUCAGUUGACAUGUGUUUUCUCCUCCACACAAGGGCUUGUUUUUUUCCAGAACGUGUCAGAUAUUUUUUUAAAUCUUUUUUAUAUAAUGUACUUGGAAACUUAAAAAAAAAAAAAACUAUUGGUAGGAUGGAUAGAAAAAAUAAUUCCUCCAUUGUGUAUUUUGGGGCUUUGUUUUUAUGGCACUGACUGCGCAGUAAACAUGGCGGCUCAAUUACAGCCGG
This is a long non-coding RNA of Bufo gargarizans (Asiatic toad), 4175 nucleotides long. RefSeq lists it as uncharacterized. The transcript is spliced from 4 exons. NCBI's taxonomy places the organism in Eukaryota, Metazoa, Chordata, Amphibia, Anura, Bufonidae. The record is from RefSeq and is a predicted model, not a curated record.